RNAcentral lists this ribosomal RNA (792 nucleotides) under uncultured Lactobacillus sp. RNAcentral describes it as "bacterial SSU rRNA". It matches the Rfam family "Bacterial small subunit ribosomal RNA", at positions 28 to 776 of the family's 1533-position model. The record is from RNAcentral. Lineage: Bacteria; Bacillati; Bacillota; Bacilli; Lactobacillales; Lactobacillaceae.
GAUGAACGCCGGCGGUGUGCCUAAUACAUGCAAGUCGAGCGCACUGGCCCAACUGAUAUGACGUGCUUGCACUGAAUUGACGUUGGAUUCCCAGUGAGCGGCGGACGGGUGAGUAACACGUGGGCAACCUGCCCUGAAGCGGGGGAUAACAUCUGGAAACAGGUGCUAAUACCGCAUAACAACGAAAACCGCAUGGUUUUCGUUUCAAAGAUGGUUUCGGCUAUCACUUCAGGAUGGGCCCGCGGUGCAUUAGCUAGUUGGUAAGGUAACGGCUUACCAAGGCGAUGAUGCAUAGCCGAGUUGAGAGACUGAUCGGCCACAAUGGAACUGAGACACGGUCCAUACUCCUACGGGAGGCAGCAGUAGGGAAUCUUCCACAAUGGGCGCAAGCCUGAUGGAGCAACACCGCGUGAGUGAAGAAGGGUUUCGGCUCGUAAAGCUCUGUUGUUGGAGAAGAACGUGCGUGAGAGUAACUGUUCGCGCAGUGACGGUAUCCAACCAGAAAGUCACGGCUAACUACGUGCCAGCAGCCGCGGUAAUACGUAGGUGGCAAGCGUUAUCCGGAUUUAUUGGGCGUAAAGCGAGCGCAGGCGGUUGUUUAGGUCUGAUGUGAAAGCCUUCGGCUUAACCGAAGAAGUGCAUCGGAAACCGGGCGACUUGAGUGCAGAAGAGGACAGUGGAACUCCAUGUGUAGCGGUGGAAUGCGUAGAUAUAUGGAAGAACACCAGUGGCGAAGGCGGCUGUCUGGUCUGCAACUGACGCUGAGGCUCGAAAGCAUGGGUAGCGAACAGG